This 253-nucleotide ribosomal RNA is filed under the name uncultured bacterium. RNAcentral describes it as "partial 16S ribosomal RNA". It matches the Rfam family "Bacterial small subunit ribosomal RNA", at positions 524 to 776 of the family's 1533-position model. The record is from RNAcentral.
UACGUAGGGUGCAAGCGUUAAUCGGAAUAACUGGGCGUAAAGGGCGCGCAGGCGGAUUUGCAAGACAGAUGUGAAAGCCCUGGGCUUAACCUGGGAACUGCAUUUGUGACUGCAAGUCUAGAGUAUGGCAGAGGGAGGUGGAAUUCCAUGUGUAGCAGUGAAAUGCAUAGAGAUAUGGAGGAACACCGAUGGCGAAGGCAGCCUCCUGGGCCAAUACUGACGCUCAGGCACGAAAGCGUGGGGAGCAAACAGG